RNAcentral lists this non-coding RNA (46 nucleotides) under Schistosoma mattheei. Lineage: Eukaryota; Metazoa; Platyhelminthes; Trematoda; Strigeidida; Schistosomatidae. The record is from RNAcentral.
AUACUGCUGAGGAGUUCCACAAUAGGACGAAACAACCGUCCAAUGU